UGCGCAGGCGGACUUUUAAGUCAGUGGUGAAAUCCCGAGGCUCAACCUCGGAACUGCCAUUGAUACUGGAAGUCUUGAAUUUGGUUGAAGUGGGCGGAAUGUAGCAUGUAGCGGUGAAAUGCUUAGAUAUGCUACAGAACACCGAUCACGAAGGCAGCUCACUAAGCCAAUAUUGACGCUCAGGCACGAAAGCGUGGGGAGCAAACAGGAUUAGAUACCCUGGUAGUCC
This 229-nucleotide ribosomal RNA is filed under the name uncultured bacterium. RNAcentral describes it as "partial 16S ribosomal RNA". It matches the Rfam family "Bacterial small subunit ribosomal RNA", at positions 568 to 796 of the family's 1533-position model. The record is from RNAcentral.